ACUCCUGCGGGAGGCAGCAGUGGGGAAUAUUGCACAAUGGGCGCAAGCCUGAUGCAGCGACGCCGCGUGGGGGAUGAAGGCCUUCGGGUUGUAAACUCCUUUCGCUAGGGACGAAGCUUUUUUGUGACGGUACCUAGAUAAGAAGCACCGGCUAACUACGUGCCAGCAGCCGCGGUAAUACGUAGGGUGCGAGCGUUGUCCGGAAUUACUGGGCGUAAAGGGCUCGUAGGUGGUUUGUCGCGUCGUCUGUGAAAUUCUGGGGCUUAACUCCGGGCGUGCAGGCGAUACGGGCAUAACUUGAGUGCUGUAGGGGUAACUGGAAUUCCUGGUGUAGCGGUGAAAUGCGCAGAUAUCAGGAGGAACACCGAUGGCGAAGGCAGGUUACUGGGCAGUUACUGACGCUGAGGAGCGAAAGCAUGGGUAGCGAACAGGAUUAGAUACCCGGGUAGUCCCAUG
This 456-nucleotide ribosomal RNA is filed under the name uncultured organism. Its description in RNAcentral is "partial 16S ribosomal RNA". It matches the Rfam family "Bacterial small subunit ribosomal RNA", at positions 335 to 799 of the family's 1533-position model. The record is from RNAcentral.